GCGCCCGUGGCUCAACUGGAUAGAGCAUCAGAUUUCGAAUCUGAGGGUUGCAAGUUCGAGUCUUGCCGGGCGCACCA
RNAcentral lists this transfer RNA (77 nucleotides) under Candidatus Pelagibacteraceae bacterium. RNAcentral's name for it is "tRNA-Arg". It matches the Rfam family "tRNA". Rfam says of the family: Transfer RNA (tRNA) molecules are approximately 80 nucleotides in length. RNAcentral also lists the same sequence under 1 other name. Lineage: Bacteria; Pseudomonadati; Pseudomonadota; Alphaproteobacteria; Candidatus Pelagibacterales; Candidatus Pelagibacteraceae. The record is from RNAcentral.